Molecule: ribosomal RNA, 164 nt
Filed under: uncultured bacterium
Lineage: Bacteria
Description: partial 16S ribosomal RNA
Rfam family: Bacterial small subunit ribosomal RNA
Source: RNAcentral
UAGGGAAUCUUCCACAAUGGACGAAAGUCUGAUGGAGCAACGCCGCGUGAGUGAAGAAGGGUUUCGGCUCGUAAAACUCUGUUGUUAAAGAAGAACAUAUCUGAGAGUAACUGUUCAGGUAUUGACGGUAUUUAACCAGAAAGCCACGGCUAGCUACGUGCCUG